GCCGCGUGCGGGAUGACGGUCCUAUGGAUUGUAAACUGCUUUUGUACGGAAAAAAACACUCCUUCGUGAAGGACCUUGACGGUACCGUAAGAAUAAGGAUCGGCUAACUCCCUGCCAGCUACCGCGGUAAUAAGGAGGAUCCAAGCGUUAUCCGGAAUCAUUGGGUUUAAAGGGUCCGUAGGCGGUCUGGUAAGUCCGUGGUGAAAGCCCAUCGCUCAGCGGUGGAACGGCCAUUGAUACUGCUGGACUUGAAUUACUGGGAAUCAACUAGAAUAUGUGGUGUAGCGGUGAAAUGCUUAGAGAUUACAUGGAAUACCAAUUGCGAAGGCAGGUUGCUACCAGUGGAUUGACGCUGAUGGACGAAAGCGUGGGUAGCGAACAGGAGUAGAUACCCUGGUAGUCCACGCCGUACACGAUGGAUACUAGCUGUUGGGAGCAAUCUCACUGGCUAAACGAAAGUGAUAACUAUCCCACCUGGGGAGUACGUUCGCAAGAAUGAAACUCAAAGGAAUUGACGGGGGCCCGCACAAGCGGUGGAGCAUGUGGUUUAAUUCCAUGAUACGCAAGGAACCUUACCAAGGCUUAAAUGCAGACUGACCGAUUUGGAAACAGAUCU
Molecule: ribosomal RNA, 616 nt
Filed under: Flavobacterium sp. So3Pw_2840
Lineage: Bacteria; Pseudomonadati; Bacteroidota; Flavobacteriia; Flavobacteriales; Flavobacteriaceae
Description: bacterial SSU rRNA
Rfam family: Bacterial small subunit ribosomal RNA
Source: RNAcentral